UACGAAGGGGGCAAGCGUUGUUCGGAAUUACUGGGCGUAAAGGGCGCGUAGGCGGCCGAUCAAGUCAGGCGUGAAAUUCCCGGGCUCAACCUGGGGGCUGCGCUUGAUACUGAUUGGCUUGAAUGCGGGAGAGGAUAGUGGAAUUCCCAGUGUAGAGGUGAAAUUCGUAGAUAUUGGGAAGAACACCGGUGGCGAAGGCGGCUAUCUGGCCCGUAAUUGACGCUGAGGCGCGAAGGCGUGGGGAGCAAACAGG
Molecule: ribosomal RNA, 253 nt
Filed under: uncultured bacterium
Lineage: Bacteria
Description: partial 16S ribosomal RNA
Rfam family: Bacterial small subunit ribosomal RNA
Source: RNAcentral